RNAcentral lists this ribosomal RNA (386 nucleotides) under uncultured bacterium. Its description in RNAcentral is "bacterial SSU rRNA". It matches the Rfam family "Bacterial small subunit ribosomal RNA", at positions 29 to 416 of the family's 1533-position model. The record is from RNAcentral.
AUUGAACGCUGGCGGCAUGCCUUACACAUGCAAGUCGAACGGCAGCACGGGAGCAAUCCUGGUGGCGAGUGGCGAACGGGUGAGUAAUAUAUCGGAACGUGCCCGGUCGUGGGGGAUAACGUAGCGAAAGCUACGCUAAUACCGCAUACGAUCUACGGAUGAAAGCGGGGGAUCGCAAGACCUCGCGCGAUUGGAGCGGCCGAUAUCAGAUUAGGUAGUUGGUGAGGUAAAGGCUCACCAAGCCGACGAUCUGUAGCUGGUCUGAGAGGACGACCAGCCACACUGGGACUGAGACACGGCCCAGACUCCUACGGGAGGCAGCAGUGGGGAAUUUUGGACAAUGGGCGCAAGCCUGAUCCAGCAAUGCCGCGUGCAGGAUGAAGGCC